GACGAACGCUGGCGGCGUGCCUAAUACAUGCAAGUAGAACGCUGAAGAGAGGAGCUUGCUCUUCUUGGAUGAGUUGCGAACGGGUGAGUAACGCGUAGGUAACCUGCCUUGUAGCGGGGGAUAACUAUUGGAAACGAUAGCUAAUACCGCAUAACAAUGGCUGCCACAUGUCAUUUAUUUGAAAGGGGCAAUUGCUCCACUACAAGAUGGACCUGCGUUGUAUUAGCUAGUAGGUGAGGUAAUGGCUCACCUAGGCGACGAUACAUAGCCGGCCUGAGAGGGGGAUCGGCCACACUGGGACUGGGGCACGGCCCCGACUCCUACGGGGGGCAGCAGUAGGGAAUUUUCGGCAAUGGGGGCAACCCUGACCGAGAAACGCCGCGUGAGUGAAGAAGGGUUUCGGAUCGUAAAGCUCUGUUGUAAGUCAAGAACGGGUGUGAGAGUGGAAAGUUCACACUGUGACGGUAGCUUAACAGAAAGGGACGGCUAACUACGUG
Molecule: ribosomal RNA, 497 nt
Filed under: uncultured bacterium
Lineage: Bacteria
Description: partial 16S ribosomal RNA
Rfam family: Bacterial small subunit ribosomal RNA
Source: RNAcentral